Molecule: ribosomal RNA, 116 nt
Filed under: Bacillus pumilus
Lineage: Bacteria; Bacillati; Bacillota; Bacilli; Caryophanales; Bacillaceae
Also listed under: 1 other name
Source: RNAcentral
UCUGGUGAUGAUGGCGAAGAGGUCACACCCGUUCCCAUACCGAACACGGAAGUUAAGCUCUUCAGCGCCGAUAGUAGUUGGGGGUCUCCCCCUGUGAGAGUAGGACAUCGCCAGGC